GUGCUGCCCCAGCUGCAUCCUCAUGAAGCACAUCCGGGAGCACAUGGUGGGAAGGGCCAUGUGAGAGACUUUAGUAUGUGAACUGAUUUAUCCUCUGAACAAGCAUCUUUGAUUAUCUGUUCUACUCCAGAUACAACUCACAAGUGAAUGAACCAGAACACACAAAAAGUAUGUAUGGAGAUCAAUAGAGUGUGGUUUAAGAAUAAACAAGAUCAGUGGAAAUGAAGAGAUUCCAAAUGGGCCAGGCGUGGUGACUCAUGCCUAUAAUCCCACCACUUUGGGAAGCCAAGGCAGGCAGAUCCCUUGAGGUCAGGAGUUCAAGACCAGCCUGGCCAACAUGGUGAAACCCCGUCUCUACUAAAAAUACAAAAAUUAGCUGGGCAUGGUGGCGUGUGCCUGUAAUUCCAGCUACUAGGGAGGCUGAGCCAAGAGAAUUGCUUGAGCCCCAGAGGCAGAGGUUGCAGUGAGCUGAGAUCAUGCCACUGCACUCCAGCCUGGGCAACAGAGUGAGACUCCAGAGGCUGAGGCAUGAGAAUCGCUUUAAUCUGGGAGCCAAGAUGGCACCACUGCACUCCAGUCUGGGUGACAGAGUGAGACUCCAUCUCAGAAAAGAGAAAUAGAUCCCUGCAUGUAUGAAAAUCUAACGUACAGUAGUAACUGGUAUUAAAAUUCAGUUUAUAGUCAAGAUUUCGUGGGGUUAGAAGAAAAAGGCCAGGUGCGGUGGCUCACACCUGUAAUACCAGCACUUUGGGAGGCAGAGGUGGGCGGGUCACAAGGUCAGGAGUUUGAGGACCAGCCUGGCCAAUAUGGUGAAAUCCCAUCUCUACUUAAAAAAAAAAAAAAAAUUAGCCGGGCAUGGUAGUACACACCUGUAGUCCCAGUUACUUGGGAGGCUGAGGCAGAAGAAUCGCUUGAACCUGGGAGGCAGAGGUUGCAGUGAGCCGAGAUCGUGCCACUGCACUCCAGCCUGGGUGACAGAGGAAGACUCUGUCUCAAAAAAAAAAAAAAAAAAAAUUCAUGCCAGCCACGGGGGCUCAUGCCUGUAAUCCCAGCACUUUGGGAGGCCGAGGCAGGUGAAUUGCUUGAGUUCAGAAGUUCAAGACCAGCCUGGACAACAUGGCAAAACCUCAUCUCUAAAUAAAUAUUUUUAAAAAUUAGCCAAGUAUUGUGGCAUGCGCCUGUAGCCCUGGCUACUCAGGAGGCUGAGGUAAGAGGAUCGCUUGAGCCCAGGAGAUCGAAGCUGCAGUGAGCUGAGAUUGUGCCACCGCACUCCAGCCUGGGCGACACAGUGAGACCCUGUCUCAAAGAAGAAGAAAGAAAAUCAGUUAAAAAUGAGUGGGUUACUUCUAAAUGGCCCUUCAACAACUGGUUAUCCAAUGGAAGAAAGCGAAAUUGUAUUUUAAAAAUGUUAUGCAAGAAAACCUCUAGAAUCCGUAUAUAAUCUAGGGUCUUGACCAAGACUAGAUGCAACAGAAAAUUAUGUAUGUUUGUUUAUAUAAACAGUAACUUUUACAAGAAAAAAGAUGUCACACUUGCUGGUAGGCAAAGGAUAUUUUGUAGGGGAAAAUUCUGAAUAGUGUAAACUGCUAAAAAUUGAAAAAUGGACAAAGGAUAUGAAUACGCAAUUCCUAUGAAAGCAAAUCCAAAUGGCGGACAUGAAAAGCUGCCUAUUCAAUUAAGGUAACAUCAGUCUAUAUUUAUCAGACCAACUAAACAAAAAAAUAGUAACACCAGCUACAAAUGGGAAACAAGAAAACAGUCUCACAUGCUGCAGGAAGAAGUGUGCAGUAAGAGACUUUUUAGAAAACUGGCAAUAUCUAUUUAAAUGAAAAGUACACACGCUUUUACACAGAAACCUCACGUUUGGGAAUAUACCCCAUAGGAGUGAAACUAUUAAUUCAUUGUGAUAUUUGUACAAGAUAUAGCAACACUGUUUGUUAUGAGAAAAAUUAUAAAUCAAAUACACACUCAUCAGUAAUGCAAUGGUUUAACUGCAGUUCAUCAACACUAUGGAACAUCAGGUAACCAUUCAAAAGAAUGAAAUGAAGCUACGUCAGUUGAUCGAGAGGGACCUCUGAUUAUUACAGAGAAAAGGAAGACGGAGAAAAAUAAAUAUAACAUGAUUCCAUUUUUAUAUAUGUACAUAAAAGUGUAUAUAGUUCUAAGAUAUUAGCACAGAAAAACAGGAUACAUAUUAGAUCAUCCACGGGAUCCCCAGGGAGGUGGACAGAUGGGAGGGUGGCAGGAUGAAAUAAGUAAAGAGACAGAAACCAGAGCUCUCAAAAAUGCUUCAGGUUAAAGGUGACAGGUUGAACACAGUUAAGAUACCCACUAAAAUCACAGUAAAAGCACACUCCUCGAGAACACGAAUGGGUAUAAGAGUGAAUGGACUAUUUAAAAUGAAAAGUAAUUGACUUAGCAGGGGAAAGCUAGAACUGGAAGGAGUAGAGGCAAAGCACUAAUUCACCCACAGAAUCCGAGAGAGGCUCAACAGAGAGGGGCAACAGCAGAGAAAACACAGAUACUCCACUCAUAAUGUAAAAACAAAAUAUCAAACAAGAUCAAGAGCAGAAAGGGCUCGUAGCUAAUCUCUAAAAAUAGACAAGAAAGAUUAGCAGAUAAAGUAGAGGAAGUCUCAGAAAGAACAGAGAGACAAGGAAACAAAGAACAGAAGGGGAGAAAGGAUAUAAGACAGAAAUUACUCUCUGACAUGCAUGAGAAUCAUCCAGGAGGCCCCACCUCCAGAGCUGGAUUCAGUGAGGCUGGGCUGGGGCCCCCGAACCUGCACAUCCUAACAAGCUCCCAGGUGACACUGCUGCUUCUAGUCUCAGGUCCACACUGUGAGAUCCUGAAUCUCAGGGGUUUUAGUGCAAACACAGAGGAAACAGAGGGGCAGAACUUGCAAAAGAAUGAAUACAAAACACAUUUCUCAGACGGAAGGUCACGAUGCUCCAGGUUGAAAGGGCUCAUCAAGGGAGGAAAGCAAUCAACAAAAAGACCUCCACUGAGGUGUAGUUCUGUGAAAUGUCCAAAUAUCAAUAAAGAGAAGAUCCUACAAACUUCUAGUGAGGAGUAAAAGGGUUCCAACAAAGGAACAAGAAUCUGAAUGAGUAUAGACAAAGGAACGCUGAUCCAGUUUAUAGGGUAAAGAUACUUUGCUGGCUGCUGAGAGGGAACUGGAUGGGAGGAGACAGCCAGGCCUGCAGUGGUACAGGCAAGUGAUAUGUGGCUCAAGAUAGGGCUGGUAAACCUAAGAGUGGAUCUGAGAGAAUUUUUAGGAGAAAACAGAACUCGAUGAUGCUUUAGGUUUAAUCUGGCAGUACUGAGGCCAAUGUACACAAACGGUAACAUCACUCAGCAAGGAGCUUGUAGGAUGGCGGGGUUUAGGAGCUGGACAAGUUUGACAAAGUAAGAGCUUUGUAAUUCCAUUCUGAGACAUCCAAGGAGAAAAAUGCUGAACAGGCAUUUGGAUAUUUGGGUCUGCAGCUCAGGAAGUAUGGACUAUAGGUGUAAACUUAAAUGCUUAGCCUAUACACGGCCUUACUUGUAAGAUAGUCCACAGUCUACCAAAAAACAUGCACUGAUUUCAUGAAACGGUAGCUUCCAAAAGAUAAGGUAACUUCCAAAAUUGGUGUACCUUUGGAAAAUAUUUUCAUUUGUAUUUCUCUCAAGUGCUUGAAACAGCUCUACUGAGCACUCCACAAAUCCAGUGUGUGCAAAUUACAAUGCUACCUGCCUCCCAGGAGCUCUCAACAAGAUGCAAAGAUGUGGAUUCCACUGGUCUGCUUUCCCUUUGGGGAAGCCAAUCACCAAGUCCCAAGACUACAUAUUAAAUCCCUAGUGUUACCAAGGGACAGGAUUUGAUACGAUUUUGAAAACACGUUUCUGUCCCUGCAGCUAUGUGAAAUCAUUUUCACAUACUGGACAUCAAUAGCUUCAGAUUGCUAGACUCCACCCUGUCUCUCCACUUCCUGUACACAAAGUAUUUCUUCACCUGAAUCCGAGACCGUGCCAGAUACACAUUGGAUUUCCAUUCAGUUUUCAUCUUCCGGUACUGCGAUGACUUGGAGUGAACAAACUGUUUACUAUAAGGUGCGUUCAGUUCUCCAGUGACUGUGCUCUGAAAUGACUUUGAGGUGCUGGUGCUGUUUAAGGUGUGAGGCCUGCAGACAAUGGCAUAUCAACAGGAAAAAAAUACAAGGAAAACUGAAGAUACCUCUGAGUAAUGCCCAAAACCAGGUUAAUUCAGAUUCUUACUGACAGAAACAUACAUGGAAAGCUGCCUAGCAGAGACACACGGCGAGUUCUCUUAUGUAGUUGGGCACAUACACAGCCAGACAGCAGGGUUUGUAAGCAGCAGACAAAUCAAGCACAGGAAACCACUAAUACGCCUAGAAACCCUGGGCUGUACUAUGUGAAGUUAAAACAAAAUACCUUAACACAAACCUCUUGACAUGGGCACUCAUUUUAGGUUCAGAACGGGCACAACCUGUGGGGUUAACGGCAAGAGGAAGUUCCAUGAGAGGAUUUCGGCCGUAUCGGAAGGUAUAAUUUUCACAUGCCUCAACCCCAGGAAGCUGAAAAGAAGCAAAGCAGACACAAAGUCACCCCAUCUGAUGGAGACUACAGACAAUCUCAAGCUGGUCAAAGGAUGGCCCACGACAGAAAUAACUCAUCAGCGUUUUCCCCGAUAAUAAAAUGGUCUUCUAGCUUAUGUUAACACUAUUGGCCUGCAGGUAGAUCUACUUAAAUAUGAGUAUGCAAAUUCAGUUUCAAAGCCAAACUUAGGUAAACCCUGCCAAAUGCUCCUUGAAGAAAAAGAUUAGCCCAUGCAACAAACACUGGCUGACCAAUAUACACGCUUGUGUGAUUUCAGGGCCUGACUGAAACACACAAUACCCACAAACACAGGGCAUGUAAUGAUUCGCAUUGAGUUCUUUCCCCUGUAUUAAUGCCAACUUUUAUAUCUCUGUCUGGAAUUUUACAAUUAAAAACAGUUAAAAAAUCAUC
RNAcentral lists this long non-coding RNA (5010 nucleotides) under Homo sapiens (human). Its description in RNAcentral is "long non-coding RNA NONHSAT124262.2". The record is from RNAcentral. Lineage: Eukaryota; Metazoa; Chordata; Mammalia; Primates; Hominidae.